CGCUCUGUCAUUCAACCCAGGGUGGAGUGCAAUGGUGCAAUCUCAGCUCCCUACAACCUCUGCCUCCUGGGUUUAAGCAAUUCUCCAGACUCAGCCUCCCAAGUAGCUGGGAUUACGGGUGCCUGCCACCAUGCCUGGCUAAUUUUUGUGUUUUAGUAGAGGCAGGGUUUUGCCACAUUGGCUAAGCAGGUCUUGCACUCCUGGGAUUCUCCUGCCGUGGUCUCCCAAAGUGCUGGAAUUACAGGUGACAGUGGGAACUGGAUCGAGAUCGCCUAUGGCACCAGCUCAGGGGGCGUGCGGGUCAUCGUGCAGCACCCGGAGACUGUGGGCUCGGGGCCUCAGCUCUUCCAGACCUUCACUGUGCACCGCAGCCCCGUCACCAAGAUCAUGCUGUCGGAGAAGCACCUCAUCUCAGUCUGUGCCGACAACAACCACGUGCGGACAUGGUCUGUGACUCGCUUCCGCGGCAUGAUUUCCACCCAGCCCGGCUCCACCCCACUCGCUUCCUUCAAGAUCCUGGCUUUGGAGUCGGCAGAUGGGCAUGGCGGCUGCAGUGCUGGCAAUGACAUUGGCCCCUAUGGCGAGCGGGACGACCAGCAAGUGUUCAUCCAGAAGGUGGUGCCCAGCGCCAGCCAGCUCUUCGUGCGUCUCUCAUCUACUGGGCAGCGGGUGUGCUCCGUGCGCUCCGUGGACGGCUCACCCACGACGGCCUUCACAGUGCUGGAGUGUGAGGGCUCCCGGCGGCUCGGCUCUCGGCCCCGGCGCUACCUGCUCACCGGC
This 780-nucleotide small RNA is filed under the name Pongo abelii (Sumatran orangutan). RNAcentral describes it as "processed transcript". The record is from RNAcentral. Lineage: Eukaryota; Metazoa; Chordata; Mammalia; Primates; Hominidae.